UCGUAAUGCAUACUUACAAUCUAUUUGUUCGUUCCGUUGCACUCUUUCUGCUCUUUGCAAUUGUGAUUCUUGUAGUGAAUUUAACAAAAGAAAAAAUCCUUUUCGACACCAAGGAUAUCUAAGAAAUUCAUCAAGAUGCUCGACCAUACCAAGAGUUUUGUAAUCAAUAAUUCUUCCAACUGGUUUUAUAACACAUUCCACCAACAUAACUAAUCCCAACUUAAAUUUAUCUACUAAGUCUUCACAUUCAUGGAAAACUUCAAAUAGCAUUUUCAUGCUAAUUCUUUGACUACCAUUGAAAU
This 302-nucleotide long non-coding RNA is filed under the name Olea europaea (common olive). RNAcentral's name for it is "long non-coding RNA (OEUR_LNC005577)". The record is from RNAcentral. Lineage: Eukaryota; Viridiplantae; Streptophyta; Magnoliopsida; Lamiales; Oleaceae.